UAGUAACGGCGAGUGAAGCGGGAAGAGCUCAAGCUUAAAAUCUCCGUGCAAGUUUUGCGCGGCGAAUUGUAGUCUAUAGAGGCGUGGUCAGCGUGGGCGCUUGGGGCAAGUUCCUUGGAAGAGGACAGCAUGGAGGGUGAUACUCCCGUUCAUCCCUGAGUGGCUCGUGCGUACGACCCGUUUUCUUUGAGUCGCGUUGUUUGGGAAUGCAGCGCAAAGUAGGUGGUAAAUUCCAUCUAAAGCUAAAUAUUGGUGCGAGACCGAUAGCGAACAAGUACCGUGAGGGAAAGAUGAAAAGAACUUUGAAAAGAGAGUUAAAGAGUACCUGAAACUGCUGAAAGGGAACCGAAUCGUUUCCAGUGUCUAUAAUCCGUGGCAUAUUUCAUUGGCGAGUGUGCGCGUGCGUGUGCUGUGGCAGCGGCUAUUUUGGCUGCGCUCGGCGCGUGUGCUGUGUGUGCUUGCUGGUGCCCUGUGCUGCGGUGGGACGUCAAGGUCAGUUCGUAUGCUGCGGGAAAUGGCUGCCGAGGAGGUAGGGCUUACGCUCUGCGUUUGUCUAUUAUAUCUUGGUGGACGAGUCGUCGCGGUUGGGACUGAGGUGCCUACAACGUGCUUUUGAGUGGGUUUGUGUCUCCGUGUGCGCCGUGUGCGGAUAGCUUGCUAUGCGUGUGUGGUUGUGUGUGGAUUGAUGCGGGCUUUAACUUGUUGCCGUUC
RNAcentral lists this ribosomal RNA (711 nucleotides) under Phytophthora sp. EL-8701. Its description in RNAcentral is "eukaryotic LSU rRNA". It matches the Rfam family "Eukaryotic large subunit ribosomal RNA", at positions 81 to 628 of the family's 3401-position model. RNAcentral also lists the same sequence under 3 other names. The record is from RNAcentral. Lineage: Eukaryota; Oomycota; Peronosporomycetes; Peronosporales; Peronosporaceae.